AACUUCUCCCGAAAGAUGACACGUGGCAUAAAAUAUAGUUUUACAUUUUAAUAUUACUAAUUUUCGAAAAUUAUAAAUAAUAUGUAAACAUACAGCAUAAAAAUGAAAAAACUACAUUAAAGAUAUGUAAGAUUACCAUUUUUCACUUAAAAAAAAAAGACGGUUUAUCUCCAUAAUGUAACAUUACCGUUUUAUAAAAAAAAUACUAAUAAAAUUGACCUUUUAAGGCUCCAUAGAGCGUCCACAUCAGCAAAAAAAACUUCUUCCGAAAGAUGACAAAUUGCAUAAAAUAUAGUUUUACAUUUUAAUUUUACUAAUUUUCGAAAAUUAUAAAUAAUAUGUAAACAUACAGCACAAAAAAUGUAAAAACUACAUUAAAAAUAUGUAAGAUUAUCAUUUUUCACUUAAAAAAAAAGACGGCUUAUCUUCAUAAUGUAACAUUACCGUUUUAUAAAAAAAACAAAAAACAUUCUAUAUAAUACUAAUAAAAGGGACCUUUUGAGGCUCCAUAGAGCGUCCACAUCAGCAAAAAAACUUCUCCCGAAAGAUGACACGUGGCAUAAAAUAUAGUUUUACAUUUUAAUAUUACUAAUUUUCGAAAAUUAUAAAUAAUAUGUAAACAUACAGCAUAAAAAUGAAAAAACUACAUUAAAGAUAUGUAAGAUUACCAUUUUUCACUUAAAAAAAAAAGACGGUUUAUCUCCAUAAUGUAACAUUACCGUUUUAUAAAAAAAUACUAAUAAAAUUGACCUUUUAAGGCUCCAUAGAGCGUCCACAUCAGCAAAAAAAACUUCUUCCGAAAGAUGACAAAUUGCAUAAAAUAUAGUUUUACAUUUUAAUUUUACUAAUUUUCGAAAAUUAUAAAUAAUAUGUAAACAUACAGCACAAAAAAUGUAAAAACUACAUUAAAAAUAUGUAAGAUUAUCAUUUUUCACUUAAAAAAAAAGACGGCUUAUCUUCAUAAUGUAACAUUACCGUUUUAUAAAAAAAACAAAAAACAUUCUAUAUAAUUUUGCAAAUAAUAAAUAUAUGUAAAAAUACAACAUAAAAAAUGGAAAUACUACAUUAAACAUAUGUAAGAUUAUCAUUUUACAUUUUU
This 1099-nucleotide long non-coding RNA is filed under the name Brassica rapa (field mustard). RNAcentral describes it as "long non-coding RNA (BRAP_LNC001151)". The record is from RNAcentral. Lineage: Eukaryota; Viridiplantae; Streptophyta; Magnoliopsida; Brassicales; Brassicaceae.